RNAcentral lists this transfer RNA (62 nucleotides) under Freysuila caesalpiniae. Its description in RNAcentral is "tRNA-Thr". The record is from RNAcentral. Lineage: Eukaryota; Metazoa; Arthropoda; Insecta; Hemiptera; Psyllidae.
CGUUCUAAUAGUUUAAACUUAAAACAUUGAUCUUGUAAAUCAAAAAUAUUUAAUUUUAGAAU